Molecule: ribosomal RNA, 500 nt
Filed under: uncultured bacterium
Lineage: Bacteria
Description: partial 16S ribosomal RNA
Rfam family: Bacterial small subunit ribosomal RNA
Source: RNAcentral
GACGAACGCUGGCGGCGUGCUUAACACAUGCAAGUCGAACGGGUCUGCCCUGUUUUUUGCGGGGUGGGUCAGUGGCGAACGGGUGAGUAACACGUGAGUAACCUGCCCCUCACUUCUGGAUAACCGCUUGAAAGGGUGGCUAAUACGGGGUGUUCUGGCUGUGCCGCAUGGUGUGGCUGGGAAAGAUUCACUUUUGUGGUGUUUUGGUGGGGGAUGGGCUCGCGGCCUAUCAGCUUGUUGGAGGGGUGAUGGCCUGCCAAGGCUUUGACGGGUAGCCGGCCUGGGAGGGUGGGCGGUCACACUGGGACGGAGAUACGGCCCAGACUCCUGCGGGAGGCAGCAGUGGGGGGUAUUGCACAAUGGGCGGAAGCCUGAUGCAGCGACGUCGCGUGAGGGAUGGAGGCCUUCGGGUUGUGAACCUCUUUCGCCGGUGAAGAAGGUCCUGCUCUUUGUGGUGGGGUUGACGGUAGCCGGGUUAUGAAGCGCCGGCUAACUACGUG